GCCCUCCUAGGGUUGCACCUGGAGAGUUUCCAGUACUCUGUCAGUCUCGGCUAUGGGAGGGAGAGUCAAGCAGAGGCAUACCUAUUCCAUACCUAGCUUGGGCGGUGGCUAGAAAGUAGAAGACAAUCUGCUCCAUGU
Molecule: small nucleolar RNA, 138 nt
Organism: Tachyglossus aculeatus (Australian echidna)
Lineage: Eukaryota; Metazoa; Chordata; Mammalia; Monotremata; Tachyglossidae
Source: RefSeq, a predicted model, not a curated record